GAUGAAGAACGCAGCGAAGUGCGAUAAGUAAUGUGAAUUGCAGAAUUCAGUGAAUCAUCGAAUCUUUGAACGCACAUUGCGCCCAUUAGUAUUCUAGUGGGCAUGCCUGUUCGAGCGUCAUUAAUUCCACUUAAGCCCUGCUUAGUGUUGGGAAUCUACUCUAGUGGUGCUACCCUGGAGCUACCCCUGAAAGGGGGCUGGCCCGGUAGCUACCCUGUAGUUCCUCAAAGAUAGUGCGCGGAGUUGCGUGGUCCUCUGAGCUUAGUAACUAUACACCUAGCUUUUGAGUGUCCCGCGGCGCCUGCCGUUUAAACCCCAUCUUUUAAUGGUUGACCUCGGAUCAGGUAGGAAUACCCGCUGAACUUAAGCAUAUCAAUAAGCGGAGGA
RNAcentral lists this unclassified non-coding RNA (387 nucleotides) under soil metagenome. RNAcentral describes it as "partial contains 5.8S ribosomal RNA, internal transcribed spacer 2, and large subunit ribosomal RNA". The stretch from base 1 to 120 matches the Rfam family "5.8S ribosomal RNA", at positions 35 to 154 of the family's 154-position model. The record is from RNAcentral.